CUACAGAGGGUGCGAGCGUUAAUCGGAAUUACUGGGCGUAAAGCGCGCGUAGGCGGCUACGUCAGUCGGGUGUGAAAGCCUCGGGCUUAACCUGGGAAUUGCAUUCGAAACUGCGUGGCUAGAGUCUGAUAGAGGGAAGUGGAAUUUCCGGUGUAGCGGUGAAAUGCGUAGAUAUCGGAAGGAACAUCAGUGGCGAAGGCGGCUUCCUGGAUCAAGACUGACGCUCAGGUGCGAAAGCGUGGGGAGCAAACAGGAUUAGAAACCCCAGUAGUCC
RNAcentral lists this ribosomal RNA (274 nucleotides) under uncultured bacterium. RNAcentral describes it as "partial 16S ribosomal RNA". It matches the Rfam family "Bacterial small subunit ribosomal RNA", at positions 523 to 796 of the family's 1533-position model. The record is from RNAcentral.